CGUUCCCGGGCCUUGUACACACCGCCCGUCACACCAUGGGAGUUGGUUUUACCCGAAGGCGGUGCGUCAACCGUAAGGAGGCAGCCGACCACGGUAAGGUCAGCGACUGGGGUG
RNAcentral lists this ribosomal RNA (114 nucleotides) under uncultured bacterium. RNAcentral's name for it is "partial 16S ribosomal RNA". It matches the Rfam family "Bacterial small subunit ribosomal RNA", at positions 1369 to 1482 of the family's 1533-position model. The record is from RNAcentral.